AUUGAACGCUGGCGGCAUGCUUUACACAUGCAAGUCGAACGGCAGCGCGGGCUUCGGUCUGGCUGAGGGUGGCCAACUGGCGGGUGAUACAUGAGUACAUGGGCAUCUGCUUGGUCUUGCGCGACGACGGAGGGAAUCUUACCGCAAUCGCCCUUACGGUGUACGCGGGGGAUCUUCGGAUCUUGCGCUCUUGCGCGAGUCGAUGACCGGAUGUCGGAUUAGCUGGUUGGUGGGGUAAAGGCCCACCAAGGCGACGAUCCGUAGCUGGUCUGAGAGGACGAUCAGCCACACUGGAACUGAGACACGGUCCAGACUCCUACGGGAGGCAGCAGUGGGGAAUUUUGGACAAUGGGCGAAAGCCUGAUCCAGCAAUGCCGCGUGUGUGAUGAAGGCCUUCGGGUUGUAAAGCACUUUUGGCGGGAACGAAAAGGACUGUGCCAAUACCACGCUUCGAUGACGGUACCCGCAGAAUAAGCACCGGCUAACUACGUG
RNAcentral lists this ribosomal RNA (492 nucleotides) under uncultured bacterium. Its description in RNAcentral is "partial 16S ribosomal RNA". It matches the Rfam family "Bacterial small subunit ribosomal RNA", at positions 30 to 507 of the family's 1533-position model. The record is from RNAcentral.